ACUGCGAUAGCUCAGCUGGUAGAGCAUCUGCCUGGUACGCGGAGGGUCGCCGGUUCAACUCCGGCUCGCGGCG
Molecule: transfer RNA, 73 nt
Filed under: Fasciola hepatica (liver fluke)
Lineage: Eukaryota; Metazoa; Platyhelminthes; Trematoda; Plagiorchiida; Fasciolidae
Rfam family: tRNA
About the family: Transfer RNA (tRNA) molecules are approximately 80 nucleotides in length. Their secondary structure includes four short double-helical elements and three loops (D, anti-codon, and T loops). Further hydrogen bonds mediate the characteristic L-shaped molecular structure. tRNAs have two regions of fundamental functional importance: the anti-codon, which is responsible for specific mRNA codon recognition, and the 3' end, to which the tRNAs corresponding amino acid is attached (by aminoacyl-tRNA synthetases). tRNAs cope with the degeneracy of the genetic code in two manners: having more than one tRNA (with a specific anti-codon) for a particular amino acid; and 'wobble' base-pairing, i.e. permitting non-standard base-pairing at the 3rd anti-codon position.
Source: Rfam by way of RNAcentral